CGCGACAAGGUGAGCCACACCUGCGACAGAUUGACCGUGCGCAACGAGACCUCGCGCACCCCUCGGGCCGGCAGAAU
RNAcentral lists this transfer RNA (77 nucleotides) under Pararhodospirillum photometricum DSM 122. Its description in RNAcentral is "tRNA-Arg". The record is from RNAcentral. Lineage: Bacteria; Pseudomonadati; Pseudomonadota; Alphaproteobacteria; Rhodospirillales; Rhodospirillaceae.